AAUGGUUUAGUAACUGUAAAUGAGUUCAUAAAGGACACUGUGGCAAUCAUGCAUGCGGCCAUGGACAUAAUUUUUUUCUUAAUUACAUUAGUAACCUGAUAAUUAAUUAUUCUAAAUGAUUGUCUAUAUGCACUACAAUACAGCAUCAGACAGCUGUUUUUCAAUAAACAAAAAAGCUAAGUUACAAAACCUUCCAUAGAGUCAUCAUUAGGGUCUCUCCUGAAACUCUGACAAAAUCUUCUUAUUUCUGGCCUUUGGAUUUUGAUGAUAAUUACGCUGGGGUUUACUUGGAUUUUUAAUAUCAAUUCAACAUACACAUACAUAUGGCCUUCUAUCUACACAAAUGGUUCCAAUCAUGGAUCUUUACUGACUGGGAUACAUACAAACAAAACAGGCUGAUAAAACCCUAGAUACCUCAACUGCAAACCAAAAAGGAAAGAAAGCCUUCAAGUACUAUUUGAAUGGUUGGUAAAGCCUUAAAGGAGGAAAAGAAAUGAAAAGGAGAAAAUGGAUACGCUAAAAAAAGGCUUAAUUUACAGUCCCAAGCCUCAAAGGAGAUCUAGAAAGGUUAUAGAAUACGAUCAAAUUCGAUAAGAAAUAAUAGAAUGUUGCUCACCUCUUUGACCUCAGGAGUCGGCACACAACUGCUGCAAUCAAAACCCUGCAAACGUAAGAAGAAUGAUGAAAUGAAAGUACCAAACACAUAUAUAUAGUAAAUUAUUUAUUCUUCCCACCAUAUUUACUUUUUUUGCAAGAUAAAAUUGUAAAGCUUGUAUAGGUUCACCUAGCUAGUAGAUAACUAGAAACUAAAAGGGUAAGAAACUGCAACAACGCCAUCAUUCAUCACCGGAAAAAUAGAAUACAAAAGAGUAAAACAUAAAUAUGUAUGACUGUGGAUGAAGAUAAUCAUAGUCUAUGCAUGGAAAUUUAACUGGAACUAUUUUUCCAAGGGAGAGAAAAGCAUGAAGAAACUAACGCAUCACAAGAGUUUUACAAAGAGAAGCCAACAGAGCUCAGUUGGCAGUAUGCCCACCUCCAUGAAAGACCAUAGAAGAAAAGGAAGGACUUGUUCUAUGAUAGUGCGAGGUGGACAGAAUGCCAAUGAACUCUGUAAGAAGCCCUUUGCCAAACCUCCCAUGAAAGCAAAGAAACAGUCCUUGUGUUUCACCGCAGAGGAGGGGAAGAGGAAAGAGUGUAAAUGACAAUAAGAACUAGGGUUGAUAGGUUCUCCUAUUUAAAGAAGAGGAAGAGGAGGAGAAGGUGGAGCUUCAGUCUGAAAAAAGAUAAAAAAUGUAAUAAUCAGAUUGGAUGGUUCAUUCCCCCUAUAAGGAGAGCAUAUUUAGAAGGAUCAUCAUCAUGGGGUUAUUCUCUCCUUGUCUAGCUUCCCCUCGUUACUGGUGAAAAAAACCCACACCCUCCGUUCAGUCUUUUCUUGCCACCCUCCCCACUAGUCCCCCACAACCUUCCCAGUUUCCAUCACCUUCCCCCCCUUGUGCAUGAUGAAACAUAGCCUCCUUAUACACUGACCAAAUAAUGACAAGAGUAAAGCAAAAUUGGUUUCAGAUACAGCUUUGUCUUUGAGAGGGAAAAACUACAACUUUGACCCUAACCGUUUCAUCUUUUAGAAGGGCAAAUAGGGGGCCAGUCCAACUGUCACCACCCAUGGAGAGUGAAUUGAACUAUUAAUUGCAGGCGUUGAGAGAGAGAGAGAACUAGUUACUUAAGCAUAAU
Molecule: long non-coding RNA, 1731 nt
Filed under: Gossypium raimondii (Peruvian cotton)
Lineage: Eukaryota; Viridiplantae; Streptophyta; Magnoliopsida; Malvales; Malvaceae
Description: long non-coding RNA (GRAI_LNC007148)
Source: RNAcentral